AUCCGAGAAGUGGUUCGGUGGUUGGCAGCAUCCCACGCUUGAAGCACCAGCUGUCUGUGGUUCACACAGUGGGUGUGCGCCGCACACGGCGCAGCCGCCAGUCAGCCACACGGGGACGAGGUGGUCGCUGCAGCUCUGAAAGUUAUCAAAGAUAGUGUCGAUCAACCUAUCGAUGUCUGCCCCCCGAGCCUCCAAGAGAGACUGCGGCACUUCUCUCUCCUGCCACAGGUGGCUCCUGAAGCUUGACCGCCCGCUGGGUAAUGUAUCGCAACACUUUGAGCAAGGAAUCUAUCGACGGAGGACUACUGUGCACCACACCUUCAGGAGAAAGUUAACUUGUUAAAAAAUUUCAGAAUAUUAUUAGCUUGUUUCAAAAUGUUCCUGCAUGCGUUGUACUCCGGCUGGAAGGCUGAUCAAUAAAAUGGCUUGAUGGGAACACUUGUUUCAUUUAAGUGCAAAGGCUUCCAGUUUCUCUACGGAGCCUCUUUUAGGUUUGGACUUAGUGUAAAAAAUGCAUACAAAUUUAUGCA
Long non-coding RNA from Eriocheir sinensis (Chinese mitten crab), 530 nucleotides. RefSeq lists it as uncharacterized. Lineage: Eukaryota; Metazoa; Arthropoda; Malacostraca; Decapoda; Varunidae. The record is from RefSeq and is a predicted model, not a curated record. The transcript has 3 exons.